Oryzias melastigma (Indian medaka) is the source of this 226-nucleotide long non-coding RNA. RefSeq lists it as uncharacterized. Lineage: Eukaryota; Metazoa; Chordata; Actinopteri; Beloniformes; Adrianichthyidae. The record is from RefSeq and is a predicted model, not a curated record. The transcript has 2 exons.
CCCUUUUCUGACCCUGGAUUUUGGAUUCAAGUCUGCUCCCCUGGUGUGUUGCAUUUCUGGAUUGGACCAACGUGUAUGACCCUGGCCUGGAUUCUCACAAGAGCCUUCACUGCCCUCUGUCUCCAUAUUGACACCCCAAAGUCUACUCUCUUGGAGACUCCCCUGUGCAUCUGGCAGCAACACGUUUUCCACACCACCUUGAGCAUAAUAAACUGUAAAUAUCUAA